Molecule: unclassified non-coding RNA, 378 nt
Filed under: uncultured fungus
Lineage: Eukaryota; Fungi
Description: partial contains 5.8S ribosomal RNA and internal transcribed spacer 2
Rfam family: 5.8S ribosomal RNA (bases 1-133)
Source: RNAcentral
UGGCUCUCGCAUCGAUGAAGAACGCAGCGAAAUGCGAUAAGUAAUGUGAAUUGCAGAAUUCAGUGAAUCAUCGAAUCUUUGAACGCACCUUGCGCUCCUUGGUAUUCCGAGGAGCAUGCCUGUUUGAGUGUCUUGAAGUCAUCAACCCCUCCCGUUUCUGUGCGAGAGGAAGGUUGGAGCUGGGGGUUUGCGACCGCAAGGGCGCUCCCCUCAAAUGCUUCGGUUGGGCCCGUGGGUCGAACUCGGUUGGGCGUUGUACCAUCCUCGCUCGCGUCCGAGACGUUCCCCUUAGAAUCGAGCCCUUCCAAGGCCUCCUCUGGAGUGGUGGCCAAACUCAUCUAGAAUUCUGACCUCAAAUCAGGUAGGACUACCCGCUGA